GACGAACGCUGGCGGCGUGCUUAACACAUGCAAGUCGAACGGAAAGGCUCCAGCUUGCUGGAGUACUCGAGUGGCGAACGGGUGAGUAACACGUGGGUAAUCUGCCCUGCACUCUGGGAUAAGCCUGGGAAACUGGGUCUAAUACUGGAUAUGACCUUUCUCCUUAUGGGGUUUGGUGGAAAGUUUUUCGGUGUAGGAUGAGCCCGCGGCCUAUCAGCUUGUUGGUGGGGUGAUGGCCUACCAAGGCGACGACGGGUAGCCGGCCUGAGAGGGUGAUCGGCGACAUUGGGACUGAGAUACGGCCCAGUCUCCUACGGGAGGCAGCAGUGGGGAAUAUUGCACAAUGGGCGGAAGCCUGAUGCAGCGACGCCGCGUGAGGGAUGACGGCCUUCGGGUUGUAAACCUCUUUCAGCAGGGACGAAGCGUAAGUGACGGUACCUGCAGAAGAAGCACCGGCUAACUAUGUG
RNAcentral lists this ribosomal RNA (467 nucleotides) under uncultured bacterium. RNAcentral describes it as "partial 16S ribosomal RNA". It matches the Rfam family "Bacterial small subunit ribosomal RNA", at positions 28 to 507 of the family's 1533-position model. The record is from RNAcentral.